Molecule: ribosomal RNA, 480 nt
Filed under: uncultured bacterium
Lineage: Bacteria
Description: partial 16S ribosomal RNA
Rfam family: Bacterial small subunit ribosomal RNA
Source: RNAcentral
GACGAACGCUGGCGGCGUGCCUAACACAUGCAAGUCGAGCGAGUUGAUUCUCUUCGGAGAUGAAGCUAGCGGCGGACGGGUGAGUAACACGUGGGCAACCUGCCUCAUAGAGGGGGAUAGCCUUUCGAAAGGAAGAUUAAUACCGCAUAACAUCAUUGAAUGGCAUCAUUUAAUGAUCAAAGGAUUUAUUCGCUAUGAGAUGGACCCGCGUCGCAUUAGCUAGUUGGUAAGGCAAUGGCUUACCAAGGCGACGAUGCGUAGCCGACCUGAGAGGGUGAUCGGCCACAUUGGGACUGAGACACGGCCCAGACUCCUACGGGAGGCAGCAGUGGGGAAUAUUGCACAAUGGGGGAAACCCUGAUGCAGCAACGCCGCGUGAGUGAUGACGGUCUUCGGAUUGUAAAGCUCUGUCUUUGGGGACGAUAAUGACGGUACCCAAGGAGGAAGCCACGGCUAACUACGUGCCAGCCGCCGCAGUAA